UUCUCAAUUUAAACUGCAUCCAUUCAUUAUCUUAGUUAGUUUUUAUAAUUUAGUAUGUGCCUUAUCUGUUUGCAUUCUCUCUUUUUAAACCUUCGGCGCUUCCGAGGUGGAGAUGUACGUGGUAUUUGUGCAUCUUCAUAUGGGUUGGACAAUAUAUGAAUACAAAAAUGCGAUUAGAAGCUUUGAGCAUUGGAGAGGUCUUAUCCUAGGCCUUGUUGAUUUAUAUCGAGUUGGUUGCUCUUCUUUGUGCACUGUGGAUAUGUUGAAAGAGAGAAGAACCACCGGCAGACAAUGUUUAGCAAAAAACGAUCACCUGCAGCAAAACUUUUGAUAGUUGUAGAGUUAGAAAUAUUUAUUGAUUGGGACACUGAACGUGUAUUUAUUGCUGAAAUAUGUUAUAGCAGAGAA
Phragmites australis (common reed) is the source of this 408-nucleotide long non-coding RNA. RefSeq lists it as uncharacterized. The transcript has 3 exons. The record is from RefSeq and is a predicted model, not a curated record. Lineage: Eukaryota; Viridiplantae; Streptophyta; Magnoliopsida; Poales; Poaceae.